This 225-nucleotide ribosomal RNA is filed under the name uncultured bacterium. RNAcentral's name for it is "partial 16S ribosomal RNA". It matches the Rfam family "Bacterial small subunit ribosomal RNA", at positions 524 to 746 of the family's 1533-position model. The record is from RNAcentral.
UACGUAGGGUGCGAGCGUUGUCCGGAAUUACUGGGCGUAAAGAGCUCGUAGGUGGUUUGUCGCGUUGUUCGUGAAAACUCACAGCUCAACUGUGGGCGUGCGGGCGAUACGGGCAGACUAGAGUACUGCAGGGGAGACUGGAAUUCCUGGUGUAGCGGUGGAAUGCGCAGAUAUCAGGAGGAACACCGGUGGGCGAAGGCGGGUCUCUGGGCAGUAACAUGACGC